UAGUGGCGAACGGGUGAGUAACACGUGGGCAAUCUGCCCUUCACUCUGGGACAAGCCCUGGAAACGGGGUCUAAUACCGGAUACCACUCCUGCCUGCAUGGGCGGGGGUUGAAAGCUCCGGCGGUGAAGGAUGAGCCCGCGGCCUAUCAGCUUGUUGGUGGGGUAAUGGCCCACCAAGGCGACGACGGGUAGCCGGCCUGAGAGGGCGACCGGCCACACUGGGACUGAGACACGGCCCAGACUCCUACGGGAGGCAGCAGUGGGGAAUAUUGCACAAUGGGCGAAAGCCUGAUGCAGCGACGCCGCGUGAGGGAUGACGGCCUUCGGGUUGUAAACCUCUUUCAGCAGGGAAGAAGCGAAAGUGACGGUACCUGCAGAAGAAGCGCCGGCUAACUACGUGCCAGCAGCCGCGGUAAUACGUAGGGCGCAAGCGUUGUCCGGAAUUAUUGGGCGUAAAGAGCUCGUAGGCGGCUUGUCACGUCGGAUGUGAAAGCCCGAGGCUUAACCUCGGGUCUGCAUUCGAUACGGGCUAGCUAGAGU
This 540-nucleotide ribosomal RNA is filed under the name Streptomyces sp. 303B01. RNAcentral's name for it is "bacterial SSU rRNA". It matches the Rfam family "Bacterial small subunit ribosomal RNA", at positions 93 to 647 of the family's 1533-position model. Lineage: Bacteria; Bacillati; Actinomycetota; Actinomycetes; Kitasatosporales; Streptomycetaceae. The record is from RNAcentral.